This 492-nucleotide ribosomal RNA is filed under the name uncultured bacterium. RNAcentral's name for it is "partial 16S ribosomal RNA". It matches the Rfam family "Bacterial small subunit ribosomal RNA", at positions 29 to 507 of the family's 1533-position model. The record is from RNAcentral.
AGUGAACGCUGGCGGUAGGCCUAACACAUGCCAGUCGAACGGCAGCAGAGUAAGAGCUUGCUCUGACGGGUGGCGAGUGGCGGACGAGAGAGGAAUACAUCGGAAUCUACGGGUUAGCGGGGGAUAAGGUAGGGAAACUUACGCUAAUACCGCAUACGACAUACGGGGGAAAGCAGGGGAUCUUCGGACCUUGCGCGCCGAAAGGAGCCGAUGUCGGAUUAGCUAGUUGGCGGGAUAAAGGCCCACCAAGGCGACGAUCCGUAGCUGGUCUGAGAGGAUGAUCAGCCACACUGGAACUGAGACACGGUCCAGACUCCUACGGGAGGCAGCAGUGGGGAAUAUUGGACAAUGGGCGAAAGCCUGAUCCAGCCAUACCGCGUGGAUGAAGAAGGCCUUUGGGUUGUAAAGUCCUUUUGUUCGGAAAGAAAAGCAGCAGGCUAAUAACGCGCUGUUCUGACGGUACCGUAAGAAUAAGCACCGGCUAACUUCGUG